ACUGAUGACGGUGAUUACAACGUUAAGUUGCGCAAUCUUGUGAAGUUCUUAGAAGACGGUGAUAAAACUAAAAUCACUUUGCGUUUCCGAGGUCGUGAAUUAGCCCAUCAAGAAAUUGGUGUGCGUAUGUUGGAGAGAUUGAAAGCUGAUCUAGAGCCAUAUGGCCAAGUAGAGCAGUUUCCAAAGAUGGAAGGUCGCCAAAUGGUGAUGGUUCUUUCUCCAGUGAAGAAGAAAUAAUUACUGGCAACAGUAGUUGAAGUAACCCGGCAGAUGAAAGUUUGACCGGAGAAGGACGAAAGUCCUAUUAGAAGUAUGUCUGGGUAA
This 324-nucleotide unclassified non-coding RNA is filed under the name Polynucleobacter victoriensis. Its description in RNAcentral is "Long range pseudoknot". The record is from RNAcentral. Lineage: Bacteria; Pseudomonadati; Pseudomonadota; Betaproteobacteria; Burkholderiales; Burkholderiaceae.